RNAcentral lists this transfer RNA (73 nucleotides) under Anneissia japonica. RNAcentral describes it as "tRNA-Tyr". It matches the Rfam family "tRNA". Rfam says of the family: Transfer RNA (tRNA) molecules are approximately 80 nucleotides in length. Their secondary structure includes four short double-helical elements and three loops (D, anti-codon, and T loops). Further hydrogen bonds mediate the characteristic L-shaped molecular structure. tRNAs have two regions of fundamental functional importance: the anti-codon, which is responsible for specific mRNA codon recognition, and the 3' end, to which the tRNAs corresponding amino acid is attached (by aminoacyl-tRNA synthetases). tRNAs cope with the degeneracy of the genetic code in two manners: having more than one tRNA (with a specific anti-codon) for a particular amino acid; and 'wobble' base-pairing, i.e. permitting non-standard base-pairing at the 3rd anti-codon position. The record is from RNAcentral. Lineage: Eukaryota; Metazoa; Echinodermata; Crinoidea; Comatulida; Comatulidae.
CCCUCGAUAGCUCAGUUGGUAGAGCGGAGGACUGUAGAUCCUUAGGUCGCUGGUUCAAAUACGGCUCGAGGGA